This 501-nucleotide ribosomal RNA is filed under the name uncultured bacterium. RNAcentral describes it as "partial 16S ribosomal RNA". It matches the Rfam family "Bacterial small subunit ribosomal RNA", at positions 30 to 523 of the family's 1533-position model. The record is from RNAcentral.
AUUGAACGCUGGCGGCAGGCUUAACACAUGCAAGUCGAGCGGAGCGAGGGUGCUUGCACCUUAGCUUAGCGGCGGACGGGUGAGUAAUGCUUAGGAAUCUGCCUAUUAGUGGGGGACAACAUUCCGAAAGGGAUGCUAAUACCGCAUACGCCCUACGGGGGAAAGCAGGGGAUCUUCGGACCUUGCGCUAAUAGAUGAGCCUAAGUCGGAUUAGCUAGUUGGUGGGGUAAAGGCCUACCAAGGCGACGAUCUGUAGCGGGUCUGAGAGGAUGAUCCGCCACACUGGGACUGAGACACGGCCCAGACUCCUACGGGAGGAAGCAGUGGGGAAUAUUGGCCAAUGGGCGGAAGCCUGAUCUAGCCAUGCCGCGUGUGUGAAGAAGGCCUUUUGGUUGUAAAGCACUUUAAGCGAGGAGGAGGCUACCAGUAUUAAUACUACUGGAUAGUGGACGUUACUCGCAGAAUAAGCACCGGCUAACUCUGUGCCAGCCGCCGCGGUAA